GAUAGUUUGGCCGAGUGGUCUAAGGCGCCAGAUUUAGGCUCUAGUCCAAAACGGCGUGGGUUCAAAUCCCUAACUUUUA
Molecule: transfer RNA, 79 nt
Filed under: Centaurea solstitialis (yellow star-thistle)
Lineage: Eukaryota; Viridiplantae; Streptophyta; Magnoliopsida; Asterales; Asteraceae
Rfam family: tRNA
About the family: Transfer RNA (tRNA) molecules are approximately 80 nucleotides in length.
Source: Rfam by way of RNAcentral